This 564-nucleotide long non-coding RNA is filed under the name Rattus norvegicus (Norway rat). RNAcentral describes it as "long non-coding RNA NONRATT008661". The record is from RNAcentral. Lineage: Eukaryota; Metazoa; Chordata; Mammalia; Rodentia; Muridae.
UUGUGUGUGUGUGUGUGUGUGUGUGUGUGUGUGUGUGUAGGUGAUGCAAGGGUACAUGUGUGCCUAUGCAUAUCUAUGGAGGUCAAAGGACAACUUGUGAGAGCUGACACUUGUAGAAAUUGGCAAAUCUUGGCCAGAGUUGCCUUUGCACUGAGCCAUCCUGCCAGCCCUCUGUCUUGUUUUCCAGACAGGGUCUGUCUCUUAACAGGGAGCCCAAGCUGGCCAGUGAAGUCUAGGGACCCUGCUGUAAGUCUCCUCAGCCCUGGGAUUACAAGCAUGGGCCGCAUGCCUGUUCUUUGUUUUAUGUGUGUGUUGAACGUGGUAGUUUAAGUGCUCCCAGCCUACACAGGGGCAUCCUGCUUUUGUAAUCCACCUAUGUUUGUCACAGCAUACAUAUGCCAGCAUUUCUGGAGUUCAGUGAUCACUCCAUAAAGGUUCUCUGCUCACACAGUGGCUCUUCUGGGAAGCCCUUUUGGAGAAGGGCCAGACUGAAACAGGCACCUUUUGUUUUUGAAGUUUACCAUCUCAAGCACACAGAGAAACCAUGCAACUCGCAUAGGAAAU